GUGCUUGCUUCAGCAGCACAUAUACAGAUGUCAGAACAACACAGAGAUUAGUGUGGCCCCUGAACAAGGAUGACAAAUUCAUGAAGCAAUCCAUAUUUAA
RNAcentral lists this small nuclear RNA (100 nucleotides) under Sorex araneus (European shrew). The record is from RNAcentral. Lineage: Eukaryota; Metazoa; Chordata; Mammalia; Eulipotyphla; Soricidae.